RNAcentral lists this ribosomal RNA (262 nucleotides) under uncultured Pseudomonas sp. Its description in RNAcentral is "partial 16S ribosomal RNA". It matches the Rfam family "Bacterial small subunit ribosomal RNA", at positions 1120 to 1382 of the family's 1533-position model. Lineage: Bacteria; Pseudomonadati; Pseudomonadota; Gammaproteobacteria; Pseudomonadales; Pseudomonadaceae. The record is from RNAcentral.
AGCACGGUUAUGGUGGGCACUCUAAGGAGACUGCCGGUGACAACCGGAGGAAGUGGGGAUGACGUCAAGUCAUCAUGGCCCUUACGGCCUGGGCUACACACGUGCUACAAUGGUCGGUACAAAGGGUUGCCAAGCCGCGAGGUGGAGCUAAUCCCAUAAAACCGAUCGUAGUCCGGAUCGCAGUCUGCAACUCGACUGCGUGAAGUCGGAAUCGCUAGUAAUCGUGAAUCAGAAUGUCACGGUGAAUACGUUCCCGGGCCUU